Molecule: transfer RNA, 25 nt
Filed under: Aneides flavipunctatus (black salamander)
Lineage: Eukaryota; Metazoa; Chordata; Amphibia; Caudata; Plethodontidae
Description: partial tRNA-Ser
Source: RNAcentral
GAAAAGAGUUAGAAACACAGAAACU